This 565-nucleotide ribosomal RNA is filed under the name Hansenula anomala. RNAcentral's name for it is "eukaryotic LSU rRNA". The stretch from base 196 to 349 matches the Rfam family "5.8S ribosomal RNA". Lineage: Eukaryota; Fungi; Ascomycota; Saccharomycetes; Phaffomycetales; Wickerhamomycetaceae. The record is from RNAcentral.
CCCUUUUUAUCAAGGGAAGUGGCCAGGCGGCUUAUUGCCCGCGCGCAUAAACCUUACACACAUUGGCUAGUUUUUUUGAACUUUGCUUUUGGUGGUGAGCCUGGCUUACUGCCCAAAGGUCUAAACACAUUUUUUUAAUGUUAAAACCUUUAACCAAUAAUCAUGAAAAUUUUUAACAAAAAUUAAAAUCUUCAAAACUUUCAACAACGGAUCUCUUGGUUCUCGCAACGAUGAAGAACGCAGCGAAAUGCGAUACGUAUUGUGAAUUGCAGAUUUUCGUGAAUCAUCGAAUCUUUGAACGCACAUUGCACCCUCUGGUAUUCCAGAGGGUAUGCCUGUUUGAGCGUCAUUUCUCUCUCAAACCUUCGGGUUUGGUAUUGAGUGAUACUCUGUCAAGGGUUAACUUGAAAUAUUGACUUAGCAAGAGUGUACUAAUAAGCAGUCUUUCUGAAAUAAUGUAUUAGGUUCUUCCAACUCGUUAUAUCAGCUAGGCAGGUUUAGAAGUAUUUUAGGCUCGGCUUAACAACAAUAAACUAAAAGUUGACCUCAAGUGCGGUCCGUGAAA